GACGAACGCUGGCGGCGUGCUUAACACAUGCAAGUCGAACGGAAAGGCCCUGCUUUUGUGGGGUGCUCGAGUGGCGAACGGGUGAGUAACACGUGAGUAACCUGCCCUUUACUUUGGGAUAACUUCAGGAAACUGGGGCUAAUACCUGAUAGGAGCUCCUGCUGCAUGGUGGGGGUUGGAAAGUUUCGGCGGUUGGGGAUGGACUCGCGGCUUAUCAGCUUGUUGGUGGGGUAGUGGCUUACCAAGGCUUUGACGGGUAGCCGGCCUGAGAGGGUGACCGGCCACAUUGGGACUGAGAUACGGCCCAGACUCCUACGGGAGGCAGCAGUGGAGAAUAUUGCAAAAUGGGCGGAAGCCUGAUGCAGCAACGCCGCGUGCGGGAUGACGGCCUUCGGGUUGUAAACCGAUUUCGCCUGUGACGAAGCGUGAGUGACGGUAAUGGGUAAAGAAGCACCGGCUAACUACGU
This 467-nucleotide ribosomal RNA is filed under the name uncultured bacterium. Its description in RNAcentral is "partial 16S ribosomal RNA". It matches the Rfam family "Bacterial small subunit ribosomal RNA", at positions 28 to 506 of the family's 1533-position model. The record is from RNAcentral.